This 209-nucleotide ribosomal RNA is filed under the name uncultured bacterium. RNAcentral's name for it is "partial 16S ribosomal RNA". It matches the Rfam family "Bacterial small subunit ribosomal RNA", at positions 524 to 732 of the family's 1533-position model. The record is from RNAcentral.
UACGUAGGGUGCGAGCGUUAAUCGGAAUUACUGGGCGUAAAGCGUGCGCAGGCGGUUAGCCGUGUCCGAUGUAAAAGCCCCGGGCUCAACCUGGGAAUGGCAUUGGAAACUGGCUGGCUGGAGUGUGGCAGAGGGGGGUGGAAUUCCACGUGUAGCAGUGAAAUGCGUAGAUAUCGGGAGGAACACCAGUGGCGAAGGCGGUUGCCGCU